AGGCCUCGUGUGGCGCAGUAUGCAGCGCGUAAGUCUCAUAAUCUUAAGUGUCGUGAGUUCGAUCCUCACCCGGGGCAAUACGUUUUU
RNAcentral lists this transfer RNA (87 nucleotides) under Bombyx mori (domestic silkworm). RNAcentral's name for it is "Bm_193". The stretch from base 3 to 77 matches the Rfam family "tRNA". Rfam says of the family: Transfer RNA (tRNA) molecules are approximately 80 nucleotides in length. Their secondary structure includes four short double-helical elements and three loops (D, anti-codon, and T loops). Further hydrogen bonds mediate the characteristic L-shaped molecular structure. tRNAs have two regions of fundamental functional importance: the anti-codon, which is responsible for specific mRNA codon recognition, and the 3' end, to which the tRNAs corresponding amino acid is attached (by aminoacyl-tRNA synthetases). tRNAs cope with the degeneracy of the genetic code in two manners: having more than one tRNA (with a specific anti-codon) for a particular amino acid; and 'wobble' base-pairing, i.e. permitting non-standard base-pairing at the 3rd anti-codon position. The record is from RNAcentral. Lineage: Eukaryota; Metazoa; Arthropoda; Insecta; Lepidoptera; Bombycidae.